UACGUAGGUGGCAAGCGUUGUCCGGAAUUAUUGGGCGUAAAGCGCGUGUAGGCGGCUUGUUAAGUCGGGUGUGAAAGCCCCCAGCUCAACUGAGGAAGGGCGCCCGAAACUGGCGAGCUUGAGUGUCGGAGAGGAUGGCGGAAUACCCCAAGUAGAGGUGAAAUUCGUAGAUAUGGGGUGGAACACCGGUGGCGAAGGCGGCCAUCUGGACGACAACUGACGCUGAGACGCGAAAGCGUGGGGAGCAAACAGG
This 253-nucleotide ribosomal RNA is filed under the name uncultured bacterium. RNAcentral describes it as "partial 16S ribosomal RNA". It matches the Rfam family "Bacterial small subunit ribosomal RNA", at positions 524 to 776 of the family's 1533-position model. The record is from RNAcentral.